RNAcentral lists this ribosomal RNA (587 nucleotides) under uncultured bacterium. RNAcentral describes it as "partial 16S ribosomal RNA". It matches the Rfam family "Bacterial small subunit ribosomal RNA", at positions 355 to 937 of the family's 1533-position model. The record is from RNAcentral.
UGGGGAAUAUUGGACAAUGGGCGCAAGCCUGAUCCAGCAAUGCCGCGUGUGUGAAGAAGGCCUUCGGGUCGUAAAGCACUUUUAUCAGGAGCGAAACGCUGUCGGCUAAUACCCGGCGGAACUGACGGUACCUGAGGAAUAAGCACCGGCUAACUUCGUGCCAGCAGCCGCGGUAAUACGAAGGGUGCAAGCGUUAAUCGGAAUUACUGGGCGUAAAGCGUGCGUAGGCGGUUUCUUAAGUCUGCUGUGAAAUCCCCGGGCUCAACCUGGGAAUGGCAGUGGAUACUGGGAGGCUAGAGUGUGUCAGAGGGUGGUGGAAUUCCCGGUGUAGCGGUGAAAUGCGUAGAGAUCGGGAGGAACAUCAGUGGCGAAGGCGGCCACCUGGGACAACACUGACGCUGAGGCACGAAAGCGUGGGGAGCAAACAGGAUUAGAUACCCUGGUAGUCCACGCCCUAAAGCGAUGCGAACUGGAUGUUGGUCUCAACUCGGAGAUCAGUGUCGAAGCUAACGCGUUAAGUUCGCCGCCUGGGGAGUACGGUCGCAAGACUGAAACUCAAAUGAAUUGACGGGGUCAUAGCUGUUUCC